RNAcentral lists this ribosomal RNA (460 nucleotides) under uncultured bacterium. RNAcentral's name for it is "partial 16S ribosomal RNA". It matches the Rfam family "Bacterial small subunit ribosomal RNA", at positions 338 to 795 of the family's 1533-position model. The record is from RNAcentral.
CCUACGGGUGGCAGCAGUGAGGAAUAUUGGUCAAUGGACGAGAGUCUGAACCAGCCAAGUAGCGUGAAGGAUGACUGCCCUAUGGGUUGUAAACUUCUUUUAUAUGGGAAUAAAAUGUUCCACGUGUGGGAUUUUUUAUGUACCAUAUGAAUAAGGAUCGGCUAACUCCGUGCCAGCAGCCGCGGUAAUACGGAGGAUCCGAGCGUUAUCCGGAUUUAUUGGGUUUAAAGGGAGCGUAGAUGGGUUGUUAAGUCAGUUGUGAAAGUUUGCGGCUCAAACGUAAAAUUGCAAUUGAUACUGGCAGCCUUGAGUACAGUUGAGGUAGGCGGAAUUCGUGGUGUAGCGGUGAAAUGCUUAGAUAUCACGAAGAACUCCGAUUGCGAAGGCAGCUUACUAAACUGCCACUGACAUUGAUGCUCGAAAGUGUGGGUAUCAAACAGGAUUAGAUACCCUGGUAGUC